GGCGAACGGGUGCGUAACGCGUAUGCAACUUACCUUAUGCAGGGGGAUAGCCCGUGGAAACGCGGAUUAAUAUCCCAUAGAUCAGUAAUAUCGCAUGGUAUAACUGGUAAAACUCAGGUGGCAUAAGAUGGGCAUGCGUCUGAUUAGCUAGUUGGUAGGGUAACGGCCUACCAAGGCGACGAUCAGUAGGGGUUCUGAGAGGAUUAACCCCCACACUGGUACUGAGACACGGACCAGACUCCUACGGGAGGCAGCAGUGAGGAAUAUUGGUCAAUGGGCGCAAGCCUGAACCAGCCAUCCCGCGUGAAGGAAGAAGGCCCUACGGGUUGUAAACUUCUUUUCUGUUUGAAGAAUAAGCUCGUCGAGACGAGUGAUGCCGGUAGGACAGGAAUAAGCAUCGGCUAACUCCGUGCCAGCAGCCGCGGUAAUACGGAGGAUGCAAGCGUUAUCCGGAUUUAUUGGGUUUAAAGGGUGCGCAGGUGGUUUAAUAAGUC
Molecule: ribosomal RNA, 494 nt
Filed under: uncultured Bacteroidota bacterium
Lineage: Bacteria; Pseudomonadati; Bacteroidota
Description: bacterial SSU rRNA
Rfam family: Bacterial small subunit ribosomal RNA
Source: RNAcentral